AACGAACGCUGGCGGCAUGCCUAACACAUGCAAGUCGAACGAUGACUUCGGGCAUAGCGGCGCACGGGUGCGUAACGCUUGGGAAUCUGCCCAUGAGUUCGGAAUAACGGUUAGAAAUGAAUGCUAAUACCGCAUGAGUUCUCCCUGAGAAAGAGUGGGGUCUUCAGAUUUAUCGGGCUGGGAUGAGCCCGCGUAGGAUUAGUUAGUUGGUGGGGUAAUGGCCUACCAAGGCGACGAUCCGUAGCUGGUCUGAGAGGAUGAUCAGCCACACUGGGACUGAGACGCGGCCCAGAAUCUUAGGGGAGGCAGGAGAGGGGAAUAUUGGACGACGGGGGGAACCCUGAUGCAGCAAUGCCGGGUGAGUGAUGAAGGCCGUAGGGAAGUAAAGCUCUUUAACAAGGGACGAUAAUGACGGUACCUGGAGAAUAAGCACCGGCUAACUCCGUG
This 447-nucleotide ribosomal RNA is filed under the name uncultured bacterium. RNAcentral's name for it is "partial 16S ribosomal RNA". It matches the Rfam family "Bacterial small subunit ribosomal RNA", at positions 29 to 507 of the family's 1533-position model. The record is from RNAcentral.